Molecule: ribosomal RNA, 232 nt
Filed under: uncultured bacterium
Lineage: Bacteria
Description: partial 16S ribosomal RNA
Rfam family: Bacterial small subunit ribosomal RNA
Source: RNAcentral
UGAGUAACCUGCCCUUCACUCUGGGAUAACUCCGGGAAACCGGGGCUAAUACUGGAUAUGACUCGAACAGGCAUCUGUUUCGGGUGGAAAGAUUUUAUUGGUGGAGGAUGGACUCGCGGCCUAUCAGCUUGUUGGUGAGGUAAUGGCUCACCAAGGCGACGACGGGUAGCCGGCCUGAGAGGGCGAUCGGCCACACUGGGACUGAGACACGGUCCAGACUCCUACGGGNGCA